GGAUAUGAGGGUGAUCUGGCUGCAACAUUGUCACCCCGUUGAUCGCCAGGGUUGAUUCAGCUGAUCUGGCUGGCUAGGCCAGUGUCCCCUUCCUACCUCACCACUCCAUGUGCAUCCCUUCUGAAGCUGUGUGCUCAAAGGAGGCAAACCCCACCCCCAUAGAGGAGGACCAUUUCCAAGGUCAAGGGUAUACGGGUAGCUUCGUUCCCCUGCUAGAACCUCCAAACAAGCUGGUGAGAAAGGUGUCUUUUGGCCAGGCAUGGUGGCAUAUGCCUGUAAUCCCAGCACUUGGGAGGCCAAG
This 301-nucleotide small nuclear RNA is filed under the name Heterocephalus glaber (naked mole-rat). Its description in RNAcentral is "7SK RNA". It matches the Rfam family "7SK RNA". Rfam says of the family: 7SK was discovered as an abundant small nuclear RNA in the mid-70s but a possible function has only recently been suggested. Two independent studies have found that 7SK RNA binds the CDK9/cyclin T complex (known as elongation factor P-TEFb). P-TEFb activates transcription by phosphorylating the C-terminal domain of RNA polymerase II. The record is from Rfam by way of RNAcentral. Lineage: Eukaryota; Metazoa; Chordata; Mammalia; Rodentia; Bathyergidae.